This is a long non-coding RNA of Clupea harengus (Atlantic herring), 530 nucleotides long. The record is from Ensembl. Lineage: Eukaryota; Metazoa; Chordata; Actinopteri; Clupeiformes; Clupeidae.
UGUGGGGGAAAAAAAGAAUUCCUCUGACACAACAGGGCCAAGCGCAACAAAUACGCCUAGGUCUAAAAUCUCAGGAGAGUAUGGGCCUGAUGAAGAGGAUGGGUAAGGUAGAUAAGGUAGAAGAGUAUGGUUCUGAUGAAGAGGAUGGAUAAGGUAGAAGAGUAUGGGCCUGAUGAAGAGGAUGGAUAAGGUAGAUAAGGUAGAAGAGUAUGGGCCUGAUGAAGAGGAUGGAUAAGGUAGAAGAGUAUGGGCCUGAUUAAGUGGAUGGAUAAGGUAGAAGAGUAUGAGCCUGAUGAAGAGGAUGGGUAGAUAAGGUAGAAUCCACAUAGUGCUGUUGUCAACCCUGGAAACAUUAGUGUUGUACCAGCCUGUAAGAUAAGAUGCAUUAGCUUCUGGUGCUCCCACACUGAGUAACCAGCUUUAGCAGGGGAUAUGAGUCCCAACCUGUGUUGACUCACUUGAGUUUUACCCAACUGGUUAAAAUGGUUAGGGGUAGACAAACGAUUGUGAAAAAUGUUUGGUUUGCUUUG